RNAcentral lists this long non-coding RNA (1127 nucleotides) under Olea europaea (common olive). RNAcentral's name for it is "long non-coding RNA (OEUR_LNC010101)". Lineage: Eukaryota; Viridiplantae; Streptophyta; Magnoliopsida; Lamiales; Oleaceae. The record is from RNAcentral.
AAGAAUGAAGACGAAGAAUUGGGAUCCACUGCGGUGACCGACGAUGUAGAGGAGGAUCUAAAGCUCGCGAUCAAGGACCACGAGGCCAGGUUUCUGCUUCUUUUUUGCCUAUGCUUUUGUGGAUAUCAUGUAGAGAAUACAAAGACUGUGUUCUCAUCAUCAGAACUGACUAAUCAGUCGACGAAAAAUUAAAAACUGAAAUGGAGUCGACCCUGAAGGUUCAUUUUCAACUCUCAAAUUUCUACUUUUUUAAUUUCUAUCCGUUUGUUUUUCUUUAAGACUUUUAACGAUUUGAUUAUUUUUCAGUACAGGAAUGCUAGAUUUUCGAAAUUUUGCCCCUACCAAAAAGAAAUUGAGAAAAUUUUAGAUGGUAAAGAUUGCUUAGUGAUUACAUCCAUUGGCAAUGGUAAGUUGUUGUGGUAAGCUUCAAUUUAUUACUGUGUUUUGCAUUAUAAUCUUAAUACAGUUAUUUGUUUGAAGAAAAUACACUUCUAAUCAACCAUUUUCUUUUAGACGAAGGUAGUUGCGGUCAAGGAAAAGAUCUAGCUACCUUCUAUUUGGCCGCGAAAAGCCUGUGCAGAAGGUCCUAGGUAGAUGAAAACGUACGGAUGUAUAUCUAUCUAUCGAUUAAUUUUGCACAUCUAUUACAUAUUUAUGUAGGAUCUUGGCGUUUUGAUUGGAAAAUGACUAAUUUUUUUAUGUGUGUUUAUGUUACUGGUGCAAUUGUAGUUGUGUGAGAUUUUGACUAAAGAUCUAUUUAAGGUUGAUCCAACUUAAUUGCUACUGUUUCGUUGCAAUGUGAAAAUAGAAUCGCUAUUCUGGAAUCGUUUAUAGCUUUUUACUGCUGAUAAUUUAUUUAUUUUACCCUUUUUAUUUUGAAUUCUUACCAUACUUCUGACACUUGAACCUUUGACAUUCACAAAAAUGCAGUAAGGGGUACAAAUAAACAAGGGCAUAUAUUCAAAUGUGAAAUUAUGAAUUACACUCUAAUUCUUGCAUUUUUCGAGGAAUCAAGUAGAGACAUCAACAAUUCUAGAUACCUAUCUAAUUUAAAAUCAGAGUUAUGAGUUCACUCUCCUUUCCAUGGAUACUUGUACAUCUUUCCACUUGAAUUAUCUUACUGAUUU